AGAGUUUGAUCCUGGCUCAGAAUCAACGCUGGCGGCGCGCUUAACACAUGCAAGUCGCACGAGAAAGUGGGAAACCAUGAGUACAGUGGCGUACGGGUGAGUAACACGUGGGUAAUCUACCUCUGAGUGGGGAAUAACCCUGGGAAACCGGGGCUAAUACCGCAUAUUCUCGAGAGAGGAAAGCAGCAAUGCGCUGAGAGAGGAGCCCGCGGCCGAUUAGCUAGUUGGUAGGGUAAGAGCCUACCAAGGCAGAGAUCGGUAGCCGGCCUGAGAGGGCACACGGCCACACUGGCACUGAAACACGGGCCAGACUCCUACGGGAGGCAGCAGUGGGGAAUCUUGCACAAUGGGGGAAACCCUGAUGCAGCGACGCCGCGUGAGCGAUGAAGCCCUUCGGGGUGUAAAGCUCUUUCGUCAGGGAAGAUUAUGACGGUACCUGGAGAAGCAGCUGCGGCUAACUACGUGCCAGCAGCCGCGGUAAUACGUAGGCAGCGAGCGUUGUUCGGAGUUACUGGGCGUAAAGGGUGUGUAGGCGGUUCUUUAAGUUUGGUGUGAAAUCUCCCGGCUCAACCGGGAGGGUGCGCCGAAUACUGAGGGACUUGGAGUGCGGGAGAGGAAAGUGGAAUUCCUGGUGUAGCGGUGAAAUGCGUAGAUAUCAGGAGGAACACCGGUGGUGUAGACGGCUUUCUGGACCGUAACUGACGCUGAGACACGAAAGCGUGGGUAGCAAACAGGAUUAGAUACCCUGGUAGUCCACGCCCUAAACGAUGCAUAUUUGGUGUGGGUCAUUCAGUUGAUCCGUGCCGGAGCUAACGCGUUAAAUAUGCCGCCUGGGGAGUACAGUCGCAAGGCUGAAACUCAAAGGAAUUGACGGGGGCCCGCAC
Molecule: ribosomal RNA, 884 nt
Filed under: uncultured bacterium
Lineage: Bacteria
Description: bacterial SSU rRNA
Rfam family: Bacterial small subunit ribosomal RNA
Source: RNAcentral